UCAUAAUAUCAAUCUCAUAAGAAUUGCGAACUAUAGUUUUUAAAAUUUUUCUAUAAGUCAAGACAUCAAUAUCUUCAAUCUCAGUUAUUUUGUUGACGUGAUUUUUCAUAUUUUAUCCUGUUCAUCUACUUUAUUAAAAUAUCAAGGUACUUUUGAAUUUGAGUUAAUUUUUUAUUUUACUUUAAGUUUGGCUCAAUAAAUAAAAAAUUUUCAGCAUUAUAUUAAUCUCAACAAAUUUUACAUUUUAAUUUAGUGGCUUAAAAUUUUUCUUAGAAUAUAAGUUAGUGGAGAAAAAAAAAUUGUACAGAUCUUUAUGUUUACAAUUAAUUUAAGAAGAUUUAAUCUUCAAUUUUUGCAAAACAAUAAAUAGCCAUGUUAUUGAACCACUGCCAUGCGUAAUAUUUUUGUAAGGAUCACGUAUUACAUUGUUAGAGUUUGCGAACUCCAUUUUAUUUUUUAAAAAAAGGUAUGAUUUGUCCAUUUGUGGGCAAACUCCAUUUCUUUUUUAAAACAAAAAUUAGGAUUUGCCCAUUUAUGGGCAAAUUUCAUUUACUUUUUGUUAUAAAAAAUCGUCUUUGUCUAUAUAAAACCUUAAUUUUUAGUUCUUAUAAUUUUAUGUAACUUUUUAACAAUUUUUUCAUAUUUGUUGAGAAUUUACCAUCCGUUUGUUUUUCAGAUAUGAAUUCUUUAUCUAAAGACGUAUGUCCGAGUCAUAAAUAUAUGAUGUGUUAACACUUCAAUUAGGUUAUCAUUCUUAGGUUGUUUGAGAUGACCAAUUAAAUGAACAAACAGGGUGUUUAAAGAUUCGUCGAGCGGAUAAUGAAUUUUGAAAUCAUAUUAAGGAGCAUCCUUUACAUCCCAAUAUUCUUAAUUACUUUAAUUCAUGGAGAUUUAAAGGAGUGUUAGAUGUGGGAAACAUCAAGUGUGAUUCGGAACUUAUUACUACACUUGUUGAACGAUGACGUCCAGAAACAUACAUAUUUCACAUGCGUAUUGACGAGUGUACUAUCACAUUGCAAGAUUGGAGGUACUGUUCGGCAUGAAUAUUGAUGGUGAGGUCCGGCUUCAAGAAGAUGCCAGAUUAUAUAGUAGCAUUUAGUGGAUGAAUUUAUUAGAAAAUAUAACUGGUUUGAUAGUUCCACAAAAUUAUCUUAAAGGUAGCUUGUUAUGCGUGAAAGAAUUAGCUAACUAUAUGAGUAAUAUAAAUAAUUUGAAUUUGAUCACAGAUGAGACUGAAGAAACUGUUGUGCAACAAAGAGUAAGAUUAUACCUAUUGUGGUUGUGUGGGUGGUGUUUUUUUCAUUAAUUCAGGUAACAAGAUAAGCUUAGAUUAUCUACUAGAUAUGCGUGAUUUUGAUGCAAUGACCAGACAGGCUUGGGGAGCGGUCCCUUUUGGAUAUUUAUAUAAUUUUUUAUGUCGGGCUUUGAUGGUCAUUGUCCAUCAUAUAUGCGGAUUUGUUCCACUCUUAUAGGUAUGCAAUAUUUUAACAUAUACAAGCUUUUUUUUGAAGCUUUAAUUAUAAUUUUACGUCAUCUAUGUUGGUUAAGUUUUGAGCUUGGAAACGGAUUAUCCCUGUGCAAUCACGUUACAUUUCCUUAGAUGGCACAUACAUGAUACUUGCACAGAAAUGAAAAUAUUGAGAGAAGUGGCAUAGUCGGGCGCGUAAAGUGCUUGUCAUAUGUAGGGAUGUUUUGGAUGGACUUAACGAUACUCAGUUUGUGUGGCAGCCUUAUUUGAAUGUCGCUAUUUAUGGACUUUUCGAAUGGUGCUGACGUGGAUUUAAUAGUUGAAGGGAAAAAGUUUCACUCAUUUGUGGGAUUUAUCGAAAAUAGCAUAUGGUUGAUCCAGUUUUGAGACAAAUUGGAUCAUCGUGCACUGCAUCAUUCGUAUCAACGGUUCACAUUAUUCAACAAGAUCCCACAACAACGGAUCUGAUUAGACAAAAAAUAAGUGAGAUUGUUGGUUAUUCUGUGGGAGAUUUAAAUACAGCUGCUCAGAGAUCUAGAUUGACUUCAAAAUUUGAACUAUACUUGUUGAAAGGAUAUGAAGACCCAUCGAUAGUGUCAAUACGACCUCAACAUCGGGCUACUAGAGUUAGAGAACGUCGGGAUGGUGCUAACCUACGUGAUGAGGAUGAAGUUGGUUUAGAUCAACAACAAGAAGAGGCUAACUACGGUAAUCAAAGUUCAUAUUAUCUAAUUAUGGAUAUCAUGAGGCGGACAACUCAUCACAAGAUUGGUGACAAGGAGGUCAUGAAGGGCAGAAAAAUAAUUAGAUAACUUUUGUAAUAUAUAUGUUAACUUUUGAUAAUAAUAAAGUUCUUAAGAAAAUAUCUUCCAUCAAACAUAUGAUAAAAUAA
This is a long non-coding RNA of Capsicum annuum, 2360 nucleotides long. RefSeq lists it as uncharacterized. The record is from RefSeq and is a predicted model, not a curated record. The transcript has 3 exons. Lineage: Eukaryota; Viridiplantae; Streptophyta; Magnoliopsida; Solanales; Solanaceae.